This 748-nucleotide long non-coding RNA is filed under the name Citrus sinensis (sweet orange). RNAcentral describes it as "long non-coding RNA (CSIN_LNC001202)". Lineage: Eukaryota; Viridiplantae; Streptophyta; Magnoliopsida; Sapindales; Rutaceae. The record is from RNAcentral.
GUUUAAGCAUCUUAGAUCUAGUGGAAUCGAUUAUAUAUUUUUUAAUUAUAUUUGUUGAAGCGAUUUAAAUCUUUUUUUUUUCUUUUUGAUUCGAUCUUGAUAAGGUGAUUGCUGAGUUUUCAGCUUAAGAUAAAAGCUUGUUUCGAAAUUCAUCAAAAUUAGGGUGUGAUAAUCCUUUGAUUACUAUUCUUUUCAGUUUGUUCAACCGUUGAAUCGUAAAAUUAGGGUUCAUAGUCCUCACGUUAAUAUAUUUUUGAAUGUAGAAAAAUUAGGGCUAGACUAGUUGUGAGAAGUUCUUGUGAUUUAGGCUAUUCAGUAAAAAUUGACUUGUUGCAAGCCUGGGAUGUAGACGACAGAUGUAGAAUUUUUUUUUUUUUCAAUGCCUGGGAUGUAGACGACAGAUGUAGAACCUGGGAUGUAGACGACAGAUGUAGAAUUUUUUUUUUUUUCAAUGGGAUCACUAUUUUUUGAAUUGGAAAUUGUACUUAUUGGAUCAUUUUGGAGUACAGUAUCAUUUUGUUGAAACUUCAAUGUACACGCACGUAAUUGAGAUCAGAAUUUGGUAGUUUUUAUUAAAUUGUAUCCUUCAUACUGAAGCUUGCAUGAAAGGGGCGUCCCUUUCUCAGCCUUGUACAGAUAGCAGUUCUUUACCAUUUUUCUUGAUAUAUCUUAGUAUGCUUGCCUUUUCAGUUAGAAAGAGCAUGAUUAAUUGGUUUGUUAGAGAGAUUCAGGAAUUUGCUUUGGCCAG